Molecule: ribosomal RNA, 1113 nt
Filed under: uncultured Halobacteroides sp.
Lineage: Bacteria; Bacillati; Bacillota; Clostridia; Halanaerobiales; Halobacteroidaceae
Description: bacterial SSU rRNA
Rfam family: Bacterial small subunit ribosomal RNA
Source: RNAcentral
CGAACGCUGGCGGCGUGCUUAACACAUGCAAGUUGCGCGAGAAAGCUACCUUCGGGUAGUGAGUAAAGCGGCGAACGGGUGAGUAACGCGUGGGUUACCUACCUCUAAGUUAGGGAUAACUUCUCGAAAGGGAAGCUAAUACCUAAUAUUCUAAAGAUGGCUCUGCUAUCGCUUAGGGAUGGGCCCGCGUCCCAUUAGCUUGUUGGUAGUGUAAGAGACUACCAAAGCAACAAUGGGUAGCCGACCUGAGAGGGUGAUCGGCCACACUGGGACUGAGACACGGCCCAGACUCCUACGGGAGGCUGCAGUGGGGAAUCUUCCGCAAUGAGCGAAAGCUUGACGGAGCAACGCCGCGUGAGUGAUGAAGGCCUUCGGGUCGUAAAGCUCUGUCCUAAGGGAAGAACACCUCAGUAGAUAACAUCUGCUGGGAUUGACGGUACCUUUGGAGGAAGCCUCGGCUAAUUACGUGCCAGCAGCCGCGGUAAUACGUAAGAGGCAAGCGUUGUCCGGAAUCACUGGGCGUGAAGGGUGCGCAGGCGGUCUAGUAAGUCAAGAGUGAAAUCCAUCGGCUCAACCGGUGAACUGCUUUUGAAACUACUAGACUUGAGAAUAGGAGAAGAGAGUGGAAUUCCUGGUGUAGUGGUGAAAUACGUAGAUAUCAGGAAGAAUACCAAUGGCGAAAGCAGCUCUCUAGCCUAAUUCUGACGCUGAGGUACGAAAGCUAGGGUAUCAAACGGGAUUAGAUACCCCGGUAGUCCUAGCUGUAAACGCUGGAUACUAGGUGUUGGGGGUUCAACUCCCUCAGUGCUGCAGUUAACGCGUUAAGUAUCCCGCCUGGGGAUUACGACCGCAAGGUUGAAACUCAAAGGAAUUGACGGGGGCCCGCACAAGCGGCGGAGCAUGUGGUUUAAUUCGAAGCAACGCGCAGAACAUUACCAGGGUUUGACAUCCUAUGACCAUCUGUGAAAGCAGAGUUUGGCUCUUUGAGUCACAUAAUUGACAGGUGGUGCAUGGCUGUCGUCCACCUCGUGUCCUGAAAUGUUGGGUUAAGUCCCGCAACGAGCGUAACCCCUGUUCUUAUUUGCCAGCACUUAAUGGUGGGGACUCUAAGGG